This 505-nucleotide ribosomal RNA is filed under the name uncultured bacterium. RNAcentral describes it as "partial 16S ribosomal RNA". It matches the Rfam family "Bacterial small subunit ribosomal RNA", at positions 28 to 507 of the family's 1533-position model. The record is from RNAcentral.
GACGAACGCUGGCGGCGUGCCUAAUACAUGCAAGUAGAACGCACAGUUUAUACCUUAGCUUGCUACACCAUAGACUGUGAGUUGCGAACGGGUGAGUAACGCGUAGGUAACCUGCCUGGUAGCGGGGGAUAACUAUUGGAAACGAUAGCUAAUACCGCAUAAUAUUAAUUAUUGCAUGAUAAUUAAUUGAAAGGUGCAAUUGCACCACUACCAGAUGGACCUGCGUUGUAUUAGCUAGUAGGGGAGGUAACGGCCCACCUAGGCGACGAAACAUAGCCGACCUGAUGGAGUGUUCGGCCCCACUGGUACUGCGACACGGCCCAGACUCCUACGGGAGGCAGCAGUAGGGAAUCUUCGGCAAUGGACGAAAGACUGACCGAACAACGCCGCGUGAGUGCAGAAGGUUUUCGGAUCGUAAAGCUCUGUUGUAAAGGAAGAACGGGUGUGAGAGUGGAAAGUUCACACUGUGACGGUAUCUUACCAGAAAGGGACGGCUAACUACGUG